GCCUUCCUAGCUCAGUUGGUAGAGCAUCAGACUUUUAAUCUGAGGGUCGUGGGUUCGAGUCCCACGG
Molecule: non-coding RNA, 67 nt
Organism: Onchocerca flexuosa
Lineage: Eukaryota; Metazoa; Nematoda; Chromadorea; Rhabditida; Onchocercidae
Source: Rfam